GCGGCCCGCCCGCCGCCGGGCAGGGCGCGCUGGAGGACGCGGAGCAGCAGCCUGGAAGCCAUGGUGCCUUCCCCGGUACAAGGACCACCUACCUCAGGCAGCGUGUGAAAGCUGCUGGCUGCAGUCUCACUCCACACACACCCCUCCCCACGGAUGACCAGCAAGAUUCAUGAGCACAAGGAGGCCAGUGAAGAGAUCUCCUUGGAAACGCUGAUCUGUUGGGACUCAGGACCCUGCUGCUAGCCAGGCUGAAGACUGAUUCCUGCCCUGCAGCAACCCAAACCAGGACGAAGGAGGCUGAUCCUAUGGAGGGAACCUCGACAUGUGAAAGCCUCUUCAUUUAUAAUAUGGAGAUAUACCUGUCUCAUAGAACUGGAAGGAGGAAAAUACAAAUAAGAAUCUAUGUAAAAACAAAACCUGUACAGAGGAGUCAGCAAAUGAUGACCAAAUCAAUGGCUUGACGUCAUCUUCCAGUUUGUUUAGCUGUUUCUGAGCUGAGCUGAAGACUGAUACAAUGCAAACAGUGUUACUUUUGAAAAAUUAACUCUGAAUUUUUAAAAAUGCAGGAUGGCAUAUUUUCAAUACCCUGGCUCCCUCCAUUCUGAUAUUGGCCCAUAGUAGUCUUCAUGUAAACAGCUAAAUCUGGGUGGUGAAGGUUGAUACAAUAAUCUUGUGAUUGUAAACAGAAAUAGAGUUUGUUUAAAAUGUGUACACAUACCUAAUAUCAUAAGCUAUUAACAGAAUAUCUAUGUCAACUUAAACAUUACAUUUUAUUAAACAAGACAAUUACAACUCUUGGGUUGGGCACCUAGAAUCUGUCCUUUUGUUUUCAGGUGUUGUUAAAGAGCAGUUUUUAAAAAAUAAAAUUGAAGCCAAAAUUUCUCCUGUUCCUUCUUAGUCUGAAAAGUGACCUUUUUGUGUGUAAAAUUCCAGUUGGUCAUUUGAGUUGUCUUAGAAAGAAAAAGGGUUUCUGAUGCUCUCAAGAUUUUUUUUUUCCGUCAUUUUUCAGAAAACUGAGAAAUGGCUCCUUUCCAAAAUUUUACAUUCCCUUGACUAAGGACUUGUUACAUGUACUGAAAUAACUAAAUCUGUUUUAAUUCAUACCUUUUUAUUUUGCUGCAUGCUUGUGUGUGGACACUCUUAUUUUGGAUUAAGAGAAUACUGUUUUGUUUUAGAGUCGUAUUUUAAUUUAGUUGAAAUAAUAAGAGGUGAAAUAGCUAUACAGGCCUAGUAUAUUUUAAAAGAAUUAAAACUGGAUCAGUUAUUUUGGAGCAUAUUUGUGUGUAAGACAAGAUGUUGGUGUUAAAGUGGAACAAGUGUCUGACAUAUUCAAGGACACAUAGUUCUAAGGCUACAUUUAAAAAAAAAUACGGGUGCAAAAAAUUAGGUUCCUAAAUCCAAAUUUAGGUCACAGUCUGUAUGUGUAAAGUUAAGUAUUUGUGUGUGAGUAGUACUACAGAAGUCGUUGGUUCUAAUUCAGGAAAAAAUGUACUGAAAUCUAUCCCUAUUCAGGACAUCACUAACUCGAAGCAUGUGCUUAAGUACUAUCCUGAAUAGAUAUCCUUUCCUGAAUCAGGGCUAUAUUUUGUAAACACAACACUUCUGUCUGAAUUUAGUGGAAGUGACCAAACUUUAUACGGUUACUGGAAGGUCUCUACCAUAGGAAGACAACCAAAACACAGAGAAAAUAUGUAAAUAAACGCAAUACAAAAUUAAAGCUAGCAAGUACGGUGCAUGAAAUUAAAAAUUCUUUCAUAUCUCA
Molecule: long non-coding RNA, 1762 nt
Organism: Gopherus flavomarginatus (Mexican gopher tortoise)
Lineage: Eukaryota; Metazoa; Chordata; Testudines; Testudinidae
Exons: 4
Source: RefSeq, a predicted model, not a curated record